Molecule: long non-coding RNA, 1106 nt
Organism: Manis pentadactyla (Chinese pangolin)
Lineage: Eukaryota; Metazoa; Chordata; Mammalia; Pholidota; Manidae
Exons: 2
Source: RefSeq, a predicted model, not a curated record
UCUGAGCUGCGCAGGAGCCAUUGACUGUCUCUGCCCAUCCGGCCCCGUAGUGAGCCCGCAGGAUGUGAUUGUAUCUGAUCGCCUGUUGGGCGACUAGCGAUGUGAUGACAGAAAAUUAAAGUAGCCACCAUUUAUUGAAGGAAUGCUGACUCUUGGAUUCCAGCCACCAUGCUCUGAGGAAGUCCAUGUCUAGAUGUCAUGACCAACAGCCCCAGAUAAGGUCCCAGCUAGCAGCCAGCACAUGUACGUGAAUGGGCCCUUAGAAACCUCCAGUUCCCAGCCAUGUAUUAACUUCCAGCCUUGGAGUCUUCUCAGCUCACGCUGCAAGCAGAGACAAGAGCGGUGAGAAGCCAUCUCCAUUUGCCCUUUCCAAAUCUUGAUCCACAGAACCUGUGAGCAUAACAAAAUAGUUCUUAUUUUAUGUCACUAUCUUUAUACCAGAACAGUACUUGAUCACAGGCUCCAACAAGAGUACCACAGUUUACCUGCUCUGGAACUGAGGACACCAUGCCUGGCAGUGGAAGCUCCACAAAAGCCAGCUGUGCUGUGAGGAUAACCUCUUGGUGCUGGGCAGCUGCCAUGCCUCCAAUUCACCCACCUUAUCCUCACGGACCAGUCAUCUCCCCUCUUUUGAAUUCCCCCCACCUCAGGUAACUUGGGGCUUUUUUCUUUAUUUUUCUAUCACUGAUUUCUAGGGGUGGGAGGGAAAGCCAAUUACAUAGUAAUAGUAACAGUAUAUCACAUGGCAAUAGUAGUAGGAACUGGAACAGAUUUUGCUGCUUGCAAAUGAGAUGAAUAUCAUAACAAAACAUAACAAAAUAACAUAACAUACAUAAAACAUACCACACUUGGUUGGGACAAAGUGUUGCAGCAAGGGUGGGAGGGGACCCUGAAGGAGAAGGUAAGAAGUCUAAAAACCUUGAGAAGGCUGCAGUAAGAACUCAAAGGGAGCUAAGAAGCUAGAGAAAAGGGUCCCUUGUUACAGCAUGCCAGAAAGUUUGGUCCAAGCUUUAGAAAGCAGACACAAACCAUCCCCAGUGUUUCCUGCCUAAAUUCCUGACCCAGAGAAUCCAAAAGCAUAAUAAAGUGGUUUUUCUUUUAUGUCA